CUCUGUUGCCUCAGUUGCCUCAGUCGCCUCUGUUGGCUAUGCUGCCUCUGCCAUUCCCAGAGAAUCGAGAAUCGGGCAGAGCAUAAAACUGAACUGAACUCCUCGAGGAAGGCCGCGCCGUGAACAUUAACGCUGGCGUUAACGCUAACGGCCAUGCCGUGCAUUCUCUUUUUAUUCUCGCUGCAGCCACCCCGAAGCUGAGCUGAGCUGAGGCUUCAGCCCAAGAGCGGAAAGUAGGUGAGGCACAUGAGCUCGGCGGCAGGCAGCAGACAGCAUUGGGGCGUGAGGGGCGGAAGGGAGGGGCAGGAUGAAGGGGCACGGAGAGUGUUUACCCCGGCUUAGACGGCUCUGACAGGCCGUCUGGGCUCCAAAGCAUGAAUGAGUUGUGGAAGCAAAUGAAGUGCCACGCC
RNAcentral lists this unclassified non-coding RNA (410 nucleotides) under Drosophila yakuba. RNAcentral's name for it is "GE29182". Lineage: Eukaryota; Metazoa; Arthropoda; Insecta; Diptera; Drosophilidae. The record is from RNAcentral.